CGCACGGGUGAGUAACACGUGAAUAAUCUACCUCCGAGUGGGGAAUAACUGAGAGAAAUCUUAGCUAAUACCGCAUAACACUUACGAGUCAAAGCAGCAAUGCGCUUGGAGAGGAGUUCGCGGCCGAUUAGCUAGUUGGCGGGGUAAUGGCCCACCAAGGCGAUGAUCGGUAUCCGGCCUGAGAGGGCGCACGGACACACUGGAACUGAAACACGGCCAG
Molecule: ribosomal RNA, 220 nt
Filed under: uncultured bacterium
Lineage: Bacteria
Description: partial 16S ribosomal RNA
Rfam family: Bacterial small subunit ribosomal RNA
Source: RNAcentral